AAUUGAAAAGCUAAAAAUAAGUUUAGGGGUUAAUUAGAAUUUCUACAGGACAAAAUUGUUGUAAUUAAAAAAGUUGAGGGACUAAAUGGUAAGGAAGAAAAGUUUGGGGACCAAUUGUCCAUAUGAAAAGGAAAAAGAAAAGAAAAGAAAAGAAAGGAAAAGAUCGGGGGAGAGAGAAGGCGCAGUGGAGAAGGAAAAUUUGGGGCUGCGGUCGUCGAUGGCCGACCGUCGGGGUGCGGCACGCUGGCCGACGAAGCAGCUAGCGUCGGCAAGUGCAGCGGCAGCGGCACCAACGGGCAGCGACAGCAGCACGCGCGAGGAGGAAGGCAGCGACUUCCGGAUGCCAUUCAGGGAGUUUUUGGCUGCGUUGGCGGCCGAGUCGGGUGGCAAUCGACUCCCCUCGGUGUGAGCUUUCUUUUGGCUACAGCGGCGACGCGAAUGGUGGCCGGAAAUGAAAGUUCGUGGUGGAGAGAGAAAGUGGGUGGCAGCCACGUUUUUCGGCUUUUCCGGUGAGCUUCGGCGAGGGAUGGAUGAUCAGAGGACAUAUCCGGACUCUCCUCAGCUCAAGCUUCGCAAUGGCACCGUUUUCGUGGCGAUCGGACUCCGUUUGCAAAUCGACGAUCGAGAUUGUUCGUAAAUCUCUCCGGAUGAUCAGGGGCCGGAUCGGAAGAUCGGAAGCAGGGAUUGUCAUCAAUGCGUCGUUUCGAGUCUGUUGGUGUGUUCAGAUCGUUGAUCGGACUCCGAUAGCUGGAGGCGAGUCGACCGAGCGAUCAAGCGUCUCGAUCUGUGAUUAUUAGUCUUCCCGCGGCUCUUAUCUAGCAACCCGAUCCUUCAUCAUCGGGUGAUGUAAUUGAUUUGAUAUGUUAACUUGUAAAAAAAUCUUAAAUUUUCCGCAGUAGAAUUAAUAGAAUUAUCUGUUGUAAUUCUAUAUAGUUUCAGGUCUCGCCUAUUUCUUCUGGCAGACCGAAUAAAAUAUGUAAAAUUUAACGGUUAAGAUAAAUUGUGGCAUCAAUAAUUUUAUAUGAGAUUUAUUUUAA
This is a long non-coding RNA of Ricinus communis (castor bean), 1037 nucleotides long. RefSeq lists it as uncharacterized. The transcript is spliced from 2 exons. NCBI's taxonomy places the organism in Eukaryota, Viridiplantae, Streptophyta, Magnoliopsida, Malpighiales, Euphorbiaceae. The record is from RefSeq and is a predicted model, not a curated record.